RNAcentral lists this long non-coding RNA (1061 nucleotides) under Oncorhynchus kisutch (coho salmon). RNAcentral describes it as "lncRNA (ENSOKIG00005029761.1)". The record is from RNAcentral. Lineage: Eukaryota; Metazoa; Chordata; Actinopteri; Salmoniformes; Salmonidae.
GCCGGCCAUCUCUCUGCCUGUAUGCCUAUAUAUGGAGAAAUGAACAAAGACAGCGUAGUCAGUUACUAGUUUAUUAAAAAAUAACAUUUAGUACACAAUGAUACAACACUGUACAGUAAUGUGUGUGGGAGCAGUGGUGUCCCAGAAUAGACUGUGGGGAAGAGACUGGAGGGAUGUCGAUGGAGUUAGACGGCCUACUGUAGUAGCCUCAGUCCUGAGAGGUGAUAAAGGCCCUGUCCUGUGACAACCCCAUAGCCCCUAUUGCCCAAGACACUUGGCCUAAGUGAUGGGGGCUGUGGUUUGUAUCUGGUAUGGGCGAUAGGCCUACUGCUUGUUCAUGAGCAUUGGUCUCAGCUCGGCAUUUAAUACUCCUGGAUUAAAUGGUUUCACAAUAUACACUAAAGUGCUUUUUAUUCCAGGAGAAACCUUGAUUAGGGUCUGAAAAAAUGUAUUUUACACUUGCAAACAACUGGCCACCAUUACUAUUACCAUACUAGAUAUUUAGUAUAGUGAAUAUGUGCAUCAGCAACCUAGCUCAGGACCAAUCCUCUUGAAACAAGCAGCACAGACACAUACAGGGUAAAAUACUGUAUGACUCAGCUGAGGAAUCGGUCUUUCCCUGCACCGUGUUGGUUAAAGACUGUAGUAUUGCAGGUCAUAGAGGAUACAUAAACCCUAUCUGCAUCAGAGGUGGGGGAUAGAUAGUGGUCAUAGACAGAAUGAUCAUCACCAAGGUCAAAUUGAUCUUGCAGAAUAGCAGUCUCGGUGUUGACUCCUCUGUGACAAUAGUAUGUUAUUGUAUCAGUUACAAGUUGACUGAAAUUCAGGGGGCAUAUCCAACACAUGCACCACACAGAACGCACUACAAUGCAGCGUUCUAUUGGAAAUGUAUGUAUACUGAACAAAAAUAUAAAAAAGUAAAAGUGUUAGUCCCAUGUUUCAUGAGCGGAAAUAAAAGAUGCCAGAAAUGUUUCAUAUACACAAAAAGCGUAUUUCUCUCAAAUGUUUUGCACAAAUUUGUUUACAUCCCUGUAUUGAGCAUUUCUUGUUUGCCAAGAUAA